This 30-nucleotide non-coding RNA is filed under the name Rattus norvegicus (Norway rat). Lineage: Eukaryota; Metazoa; Chordata; Mammalia; Rodentia; Muridae. The record is from RNAcentral.
UUCCUUAAGAAAUGAACAAAGUGUGCCUAU